GGAGGUUGCUGUGAGCCGAGAUUGCGCCACUGCAUUCCAGGCUGGGCGACAGAGCGAGACUCAAUCUCAAAAAAAUUGUGCCUGUUCUUUCCUCUGGAGACGGGUAGAGCAGCCUCACAGGGUACGGCCAGGAGGGAGGCACCCCGUGGAAGAGGCAUCUCAGGCACGGUCUCGGGAAGGAUCGUGGUUGUGCCAGAAGGAUUGUUUCCUCCAGCCUACUCCUGAACCUGGAAACCAGCAGCUGCUCUCUCAAUCAAGGAGAAAGAAAGUAGAGGCCGCACCUUCCUUACGUGGUGCUCAUGGAUUCAGGGAAGAAACCCAAAUCAUGACAUGAAGGUCUGCUGCACCUUGCUGGAGGUCCACUCCAGGCCCUGUUUGCGUGGGUAUCACCAGCGGAGGCUGCAGAACAGAAAGAUUGCUGCCUGGCCCUUCCUCUGGAAGCUUCAUCCCAGAGGGGCACUAGCCUGAUGCCAACCAGAGCUCUCCUGUAUGAGAGAUGCCCUGCCCAGUGAGGAGGACUCUAGAGAGGCAGUCUGGCCACAGCCGCUUUGCAGUCCUGUGCACAUCCAGUACUUCCUAAAAGAGCAGAUGGGACCAUAGCAAGAAUCUCUUUGCUGCCCGACACAUGAGAAGCGGCCUGCCCAGCUGGCACUUGCUCUCCUACAACCAGCCUCAACAAGGCAUCGAGCUGCCUGCACCAGUGACAGCAAAGCAGCACCUGCCUGUCUGCAGCUCAGGGAUUUUCUCUCGCCCUCAGUCGUACAGCCUUAGCCUUCCAGGUGGUUUCUAGGGCUGGGUAACUAGUUCCUUCUGGGUUGGGGAAUGGGGAACAAGUGUAAAAGUUAUUUUGGCUCAAAUACAAGAUUGACAUUUGGUUUUAGAAAUAGGAAUAUUUGUUAUGCAGCUUCCAUUUUAUGAAAAUGAGGGAUAUGUUUUCCAUCCUCUUACCUAUUUAAUCAACAAAGGUCUUAAUGGAGAUGCAGUGGGCAGCUGGAUUCUUAAAAUGCCAGCUCCUUCCCAACAUCCUCUAAAUCAGACAUUUCUGUCUAAGCAUGCACCUGCAAAAAUGAUAUGUUGUUUUCCAGCUUCACUGCAAGAUCCUUGCCAGAAUUCAGGAUAGGUAUCUCAAGGAUAUCAUUACAAGUUCCAAAUAAUGCCAUCUUUCAUGCUUGAAAAGCCAUGACUGUCUGGUCCCUGCAGGGAGUAGCUGGUGCCUUCAGUGGGGAGGGGUUCGAGCGUGAGCAGCUCAGGAACGUUGUGGUCUACGGUUCAGCCACAUCCUUUGUGGUAAGAAACUGCAACAAAAUGUACUUUAUAUUUUUAUAAUCAGCUGGCUUUUAAAUUACAGCCAUGCUGAAUAAGAGCAGAGAAAACGUAUGAUUAGUAAUUUCCUUAUGCAGAAAGUAGAACAGUUUCUGGCUAAGGCCUAGGGCUUUAAAAAAAAGGUGCUUUUAGUAAAAAAAAGAAAAUGGAAAAUUCUUUAUUCCAAAGCCAAAGCAAUGGUUCAUGGCCUCCUUCUGAGCAGUAAUAGUCCAACUCCACGAGGAAGUGGAAAUGGAAAAGAUUAGCUUGGGAAAAUAUUCUAAGGGCUGUCUGCCUGCCCAGCCACUGUCACCUAUAUACUGAGCCACCUUCUCUGGUCCUUACAAGCACAGAAAAAUGGAUCUGUGGCAGUCAUGGUUCCUGGACUUCUAGAAAUGACUAUAUUCCAGGAGAUGCAGAAAUGCUACUGAACAUGGAUGUGCAGCACCACAGAAAACCUAUGUGGGAUCCUGAUCACCAGUGGAAGCCCGGCUCCUUAGAGAGCUAAGGUUCUCACUCUAUUACCCAGGCUGGAGUGCAGUGGCACAAUCAUGGCUUACUGUAGCCUCAACUUCCUGGGCCAAGAUGGAACAAAGAAAAUUCCCAGGCCCGGGAACCACCAGAGGUACUACCUUAUUUGCUCAAAAGGUAGGUUAUGCCCAUAAGGGGCAGACCACGCAUGGCUCUACCUCUCUCUCUCUCUCUACACACACACACACUCUCUCUCUCUCUCUCUCUCUCCUGCUUUUAUUGUGCCAUUUUGGAUCUGUAGGAACUUGGGCUUGAAGAGCUACAUGAUCUGAAAUUCAGCAUGUAUCAGCUAGUAGGUUUAGGUUAUGUCCCGAGAGGGAUGUGCCUCCAGGUGGCUGUGACCUCACUUUCACAGUUCAUGCAGAGGAAAGUCAUCCUUGUGGUCCUGGGAGAGCUGGUCUGUUGCUGCCCAGGUUUGCCUGCACUGCCAGCAUGGCUCUCACAGCCCCCCAAAUUGUUUUCCUCUGAAAGGUUCAAAUCUUGACUCUGAAACAGACCUCAUAAUGAAACACCUAUGGGAAAAGUCUAUUCUCUGGCCUCUUUCCUGAGCUCAAUAAUGUUUAAUUUUUAAAAGCGGGGGAGGGAGGGAGGGAAAGAAGAAGUCUCUGAUAUUUCUCCAGUGCACUUGGCUCUCAUAGAUGGCCUUGGCCAAAACUCACCACCAGCGAUUGUGCCAGAACACCUGGUUUGAAUUCUGGCUGCCAUGCUGCUUCAUUUAAUGAGAUGGUCCCAACUUACUUUACUAUUUAAAAAGAAUUUGAGGCCAGAUGCAGUGGCUCAUGCUUUUAAUCUCAGCACUUUAGGAGGCCGAGGUGGGCUGAUCAUGAGGUC
RNAcentral lists this long non-coding RNA (2664 nucleotides) under Homo sapiens (human). RNAcentral describes it as "HSALNT0145820". Lineage: Eukaryota; Metazoa; Chordata; Mammalia; Primates; Hominidae. The record is from RNAcentral.